This 1366-nucleotide ribosomal RNA is filed under the name metagenome. Its description in RNAcentral is "bacterial LSU rRNA". It matches the Rfam family "Bacterial large subunit ribosomal RNA", at positions 1579 to 2925 of the family's 2925-position model. The record is from RNAcentral.
UCGAGGCGAAGUAGGGUGAUCCCAUGCUGCCGAGAAAAGCCUCUAGCGAGUGCUGUUGCGGCCCGUACCCUAAACCGACACAGGUGGUCAGGUAGAGAAUACCGAGGCGAUCGAGUGAACUGUGGUUAAGGAACUCGGCAAAAUGCCCCCGUAACUUCGGGAGAAGGGGGACCGCUGGCCUUGAAGCUCUUUGCGGGCUAGGGGUUGGUGGUCGCAGAGACCAGGCCCAAGCGACUGUUUACUAAAAACACAGGUCCGUGCGAAGUCGUAAGACGAUGUAUACGGACUGACGCCUGCCCGGUGCUGGAACGUUAAGAGGACCUGUUAGUCCCUUUGGGGGCGAAGCGGAGAAUUUAAGCCCAGUAAACGGCGGUGGUAACUAUAACCAUCCUAAGGUAGCGAAAUUCCUUGUCGGGUAAGUUCCGACCUGCACGAAUGGCGUAACGACUCGGGCGCUGUCUCGACCACAGACUCGGCGAAAUUGCAUUACGAGUAAAGAUGCUCGUUACGCGCGGCAGGACGGAAAGACCCCGGGACCUUUACUACAGCUUGGUAUUGGUGCUCGGUUCGGCUUGUGUAGGAUAGGUGGGAGACUGUGAAGGUGCCUCGCUAGUGGUGCUGGAGUCGUUGUUGAAAUACCACUCUGGUCGGAUUGGGUGUCUGAACCUCGGGCCAUGAUCUGGUUCAGGGACAGUGCCUGGUGGGUAAUUUAACUGGGGCGGUUGCCUCCUAAAGGGUAACGGAGGCGCCCAAAGGUUCCCUCAGCCUGGUUGGCAAUCAGGUGGUGAGUGUAAGUGCACAAGGGGGCUUGACUGUGAGACGGACGUGUCGAGCAGGGACGAAAGUCGGGACUAGUGAUCCGGCAUCUCCUGGUGGAAGGGGUGUCGCUCAACGGAUAAAAGGUACCCCGGGGAUAACAGGCUGAUCUUGCCCAAGAGUCCAUAUCGACGGCAUGGUUUGGCACCUCGAUGUCGGCUCGUCGCAUCCUGGGGCUGGAGUAGGUCCCAAGGGUUGGGCUGCUCGCCCAUUAAAGCGGUACGCGAGCUGGGUUUAGAACGUCGUGAGACAGUUCGGUCCCUAUCCGCCGUGCGCGUAGGAGACUUGAGGAAGGCUGUCCCUAGUACGAGAGGACCGGGACGGACGGACCUCUGGUGUGCCAGUUGUCCCGCCAGGGGCAUGGCUGGUUGGCUAUGUUCGGAAGGGAUAACCGCUGAAGGCAUCUAAGCGGGAAGCUCGUUCCAAGAUGAGGUCUCCCACCACCUUGCGUGGUUAAGGCCCCCUAGAGACGAUGGGGUUGAUAGGCCGGGGAUGGAAGCUCUGUGGGGAGUGGAGUCGACCGGUACUAAUAGGCCGAGGGCUUGCCCUA